ACAUGAUCUGGGCUGUACUGCAAAAGAAAACGGAUCAUUGUGUAGUGUCUUCUACAUUAAAAAAAACAAAUCAGCCAUAGUAUAUGAUACAAAUAGUGCAUACUCCUAUAUAUGUCUACUGAGAAGAAAGCACCACUGAGCUCAACAGGACUUACUUUUGGGUAAAUACAUAUACAGCUGAAUUCUCCAUUCAAGGUUGUCAGCAUGUUUGCUGAAAUACACAUCAACAUAUGAAAUGUAAACAUCCUGAUGUUUACAAGCAUACACAACUAAAUGCUUUUCUGCAUUUGCGUUUUUGAUUUUGCCUUGCUCCCUAGAGGAUAUCUGCAGAGAUCUAUUUUUACAACGCAGGUGCUAGUCCACAUGGAAUGGCUGAGGAUGCACUAAUAAUUUAAUUCCCUUAAAGUAGCUCAUUAGCCAAAGCAAGGAUAAAAUUACACUGCCAAGCCCACACAAAUCUCAUGCUUCUAAUUUUAUCUGAAGGGACCAGCCAUGAUUCAGCGUGUUUGGGAUGGCAAAUGGAUCCUUUAAGAACAUUAAAAGAAUGUGAAAUAAAGUUUGCUUUAUUUCUACAUGUCAGAAUACAGAAAGGAGAUGGUUGAAGUUUAAUGCAUUUCCUAUAUAAUUUUCAUCAAUACGUGGCUGUGAUAAUGUACAUACUGAUUUAUCACAGCUUCGCUAGUUUCAUUUCCUGGAGGGUGGAAGAAGCAACAAGGGGAUCAUCUAGCUUGGACCUGGUGCUCACCAACAGGGAGGAGUUGAUUAACGAAGUGAACUCAAUGUGGCAUACACAGCUCGGUCACCCUCAUCAUUUAAUCCCCUGGGAACUCUCUCCUCGAAGGAACAGCAGUUAGAGGGACCAGCGGUUCACCACCUCUGUAUUGAGAGACCUGGGGAAAUUCUCCUAAUCAGAGGAUUGGUCAGCUCUGCGCAAGGCUUCGUUCAAUGAAAGGCCAAGCCACCAAUGAAGGACAAGCUGGAGAUGGACGCCGGAAGCGUCGCUGGAAGAAAGAGCCAAAGACUUGAGUUGAGAGUCGCUCACGGAAUAUCGCUUGCGGGCUAAGUUGCAGGAAGGCAUUCUACUUAGUUAUUUUGUAAAAUGUGCACACCACUUGAUUGUAAAACAAAACAAAAACAAACGCUCAAAGCGGGUUUACAGAAA
Molecule: long non-coding RNA, 1162 nt
Organism: Podarcis raffonei (Aeolian wall lizard)
Lineage: Eukaryota; Metazoa; Chordata; Lepidosauria; Squamata; Lacertidae
Exons: 3
Source: RefSeq, a predicted model, not a curated record